Bubalus bubalis (water buffalo) is the source of this 731-nucleotide long non-coding RNA. RefSeq lists it as uncharacterized. The transcript has 2 exons. The record is from RefSeq and is a predicted model, not a curated record. NCBI's taxonomy places the organism in Eukaryota, Metazoa, Chordata, Mammalia, Artiodactyla, Bovidae.
UCUUCCCAACCCAGGGAUCAAACCCAGAUCUCCCACAUUGUGGGUGGAUUCUUUACCGUCUAAGCCACCAGAGAAGCCCAUUAACAAAUUUAGGAAAAGACAAAAAAGCAGGGUCAGAAAAUGUCAUGGUGAAAAGCUGGUGGGGUUCAAGGUCAAAGACUGGGCUUACUGCUGAGCCGCCAGGCCCUUCUGCCCCACCCCCUUUCUCCCACAGCUGAGGCUUGUGAACAAAUCCGAACAAAUCCAAGGCAGUAGGCUCCCAGGUGAAACCAAGCAACUCUGACUGGGACUUGAAUGCACUUGUCUUUUAGUCAAAAUUGCUCCUCUCGAGUCAGGACUUACUGAAGCUCAGGUUUUCUGUUCGCAGAAAGAGUUCAGUGAGAGACAAAGUGAUAGGAAGAAGUGGAUUUAUUAAAAGAGAUAUAUAGUCCACAGACAGAGCGUGCUCCGUCUCAAGGCACCAGGGUCUGGGAUCAUCUUGGAAAGUGAGAGCGGCCCUGGGAGAAACAGACUGCAAAGACAGAACCCAGACCGUCUCAAAAGGCAGAGAAAGAUGCUACCAAAGCCCCACCCUCGUUGCCCUAUUUCACAGGCCAUGGCCCCCACAGAUAAGCUGCUUGAGAUGCAACAGCGCCAUCAGCAGGUGGGCUAAAUCGGCUGAACCCUCAUCACAGAGUGCUGCUGCUGCUGCUGUUGCUGCACCAGGAUGCACAACACAGGGCUACUAUAAA